GGGAAACUUACCAGGUCCUAACAUGUGUAGGAUUGACAGACUGAAAAUAUCUUUCUUCAUUUCGUGGGUGGUGGUGCAUGGCCGUUCUUAGUUGGUGGAGCGAUUUGUCUGGUUAAUUCCGUUAACGAACGAGACCUUUUCCUGUUUAGUAGUGACUGACUUUUCAAGUAUUAGAAUCUUCUUAGAGGGACUUUGUGCGUUUAGUGCAAGGAAGUAGGAGGCAAUAA
Molecule: ribosomal RNA, 227 nt
Filed under: uncultured eukaryote
Lineage: Eukaryota
Description: partial 18S ribosomal RNA
Rfam family: Eukaryotic small subunit ribosomal RNA
Source: RNAcentral